RNAcentral lists this ribosomal RNA (447 nucleotides) under uncultured bacterium. RNAcentral describes it as "partial 16S ribosomal RNA". It matches the Rfam family "Bacterial small subunit ribosomal RNA", at positions 355 to 793 of the family's 1533-position model. The record is from RNAcentral.
UGGGGAAUAUUGGCACAAUGGGCGCAAGCCUGAUGCCAGCCAUGCCGCGUGUGUGAAGAAGGCCUUCGGGUUGUAAAGCACUUUCAGCGAGGAGGAAGGUGGUGGACUUAAUACGUUCAUCAAUUGACGUUACUCGCAGAAGAAGCACCGGCUAACUCCGUGCCAGCAGCCGCGGUAAUACGGAGGGUGCAAGCGUUAAUCGGAAUUACUGGGCGUAAAGCGCACGCAGGCGGUUUGUUAAGUCAGAUGUGAAAUCCCCGGGCUCAACCUGGGAACUGCAUUUGAAACUGGCAAGCUAGAGUCUCGUAGAGGGGGGUAGAAUUCCAGGUGUAGCGGUGAAAUGCGUAGAGAUCUGGAGGAAUACCGGUGGCGAAGGCGGCCCCCUGGACGAAGACUGACGCUCAGGUGCGAAAGCGUGGGGAGCAAACAGAUUAGNUACCCUGGUAG